This is a long non-coding RNA of Gorilla gorilla gorilla (western lowland gorilla), 983 nucleotides long. RefSeq lists it as uncharacterized. NCBI's taxonomy places the organism in Eukaryota, Metazoa, Chordata, Mammalia, Primates, Hominidae. The record is from RefSeq and is a predicted model, not a curated record. The transcript has 3 exons.
ACAGGUGACAGGAUACUCAGGAGCCAAGAAAUGGAUCUUGGCGUGUAAUGGGAAAUGGUGAGGCGUGGAGGAGGGAGCUGUGCUGCAGGGGUCCUUUGAUGAUGAAGAGGAAAGGACUAGUCAGAGGCUACUAGAAUCACAUGGCUGGAUGCCAGGAGCACCAAGGGCGAGAAGAACUGAAGCAAAGCCGUGGAUCUGAGUGGAGAGGAGGCGCCUAAGCAGGGCAGAGAGAGAACAGUCGGAGACAACAAGCUUUCAAGAGAACAGACAGAGACAAGAAGCUUUCAAGCCCUGACGAGGAGUCAGGAGAAACUGAAUACAGGAAAGAAGCCAGGUUAAAGAAAAGAGUUUCUCUGGGCUUUCCUGUCCUUUUUCUUGCUCUGCGUCUGUGGGGUCCGUCUGCUCAUUUGAAACGCUGGAAACAUCGGGGUUUUGAGCGUGUGGUGCAGAGGUCUUGGCAUGGCAGGAGUCAUUAGGAUGUGCUGCAGCUGGAAUUGAAGACAGCCCACUGUUUUCUAAGGCUUGCUAAGACAGAACAAAACUAAAAGGUAUCGGCUGUAGAACGACACCCUGAGAUUCCUCAUACCCCUGGCCAGCUCUUCCCCAUGAAGGUACAGGAGGAAGGUUAAACAAGUAACAGAGAGACAGGAGGAGUGAAGAGUUAGUGUGAAGUCGCGGUGGACUAGAAGGCUGGGGGCUCUGCGCUCUUGCCCCCCUCCUCUCCCACACGUGCAGGUGCUGCCCACACACCCACGAGAGAAGGCCAGGCAGUAUGAACGCUCUCAGAAUUGUCAACACCCAUGACUGUCUCCAAAUCAUAAACCAGAACCUCAAGAAAGAAUAAAACACUUUUUCCACCUCUGUCAACAUAAAUAGAUACAACUUCGGAAAAGCCUGUUCUUUUCAAGUAAAGUUCACUUAUGGAAAAAAAAUAAAAGUUUGUGAUUUUUUUUUUUAAUGUAUAGAUGAAUAAAUCAUUUGAA